AUUGAACGCUGGCGGCAGGCUUAACACAUGCAAGUCGAGCGGGGUGAUGGUGCUUGCACUAUCACUUAGCGGCGGACGGGUGAGUAAUGCUUAGGAAUCUGCCUAUUAGUGGGGGACAACAUCUCGAAAGGGAUGCUAAUACCGCAUACGUCCUACGGGAGAAAGCAGGGGAUCACUUGUGACCUUGCGCUAAUAGAUGAGCCUAAGUCGGAUUAGCUAGUUGGUGGGGUAAGGGCCUACCAAGGCGACGAUCUGUAGCGGGUCUGAGAGGAUGAUCCGCCACACUGGGACUGAGACACGGCCCAGACUCCUACGGGAGGCAGCAGUGGGGAAUAUUGGACAAUGGGGGGAACCCUGAUCCAGCCAUGCCGCGUGUGUGAAGAAGGCCUUAUGGUUGUAAAGUACUUUAAGCGAGGAGGAGGCUCUUUUGGUUAAUACCCAAGAUGAGUGGACGUUACUCGCAGAAUAAGCACCGGCUAACUCUGUGCCAGCCGCCGCCGAA
RNAcentral lists this ribosomal RNA (502 nucleotides) under uncultured bacterium. RNAcentral's name for it is "partial 16S ribosomal RNA". It matches the Rfam family "Bacterial small subunit ribosomal RNA", at positions 30 to 522 of the family's 1533-position model. The record is from RNAcentral.